This 495-nucleotide ribosomal RNA is filed under the name uncultured bacterium. RNAcentral describes it as "bacterial SSU rRNA". It matches the Rfam family "Bacterial small subunit ribosomal RNA", at positions 8 to 502 of the family's 1533-position model. The record is from RNAcentral.
AGAGUUUGAUCCUGGCUCAGGAUGAACGCUAGCGGCAGGCCUAAUACAUGCAAGUCGAGGGGCAGCAGUACUUUUCGGAGUAGCUGGCGACCGGCGCACGGGUGCGUAACGCGUAUGCAAUCUACCCACUGCACAGGGAUAGCCCGUGGAAACAUGGAUUAAUACCUGAUAAUACAGGGAGCCCACCUGGGCAUAUUGUUAAAGUUUUAACGGCAGUGGAUGAGCAUGCGUCCCAUUAGUUAGUUGGUAAGAUAACGGCUUACCAAGGCGAUGAUGGGUAGGGGUUCUGAGAGGAUGAUCCCCCACACUGGUACUGAGAUACGGACCAGACUCCUACGGGAGGCAGCAGUAGGGAAUAUUGGUCAAUGGACGCAAGUCUGAACCAGCCAUGCCGCGUGCAGGAAGACGGCCUUCUGGGUUGUAAACUGCUUUUCUCAGGGAAGAAAACGCUCUUGCGAGAGUACUUGCCGUACCUGAGAAUAAGCACCGCUAACU